AUGCCAAUGGCCACUGGAGGAAGAACUAUCUACUCUACCUGGAGAGCCUAAAGAUCAAAAAGGAUGAUAAACCUUCAGAAGGUAUGCUCGUAAUUAAAUCUAGCCUUACGAUUUCUUCUACUUCUAGUUGGGUAUUGGACUCUGGUUCAAGUACUCAUAUAUAUACCUCAAUGUAGGGUCUAAUAGAAAGUAAGAGAUUGAGAGAAGGUGACAUGAUCCUUC
Molecule: long non-coding RNA, 222 nt
Filed under: Elaeis guineensis (African oil palm)
Lineage: Eukaryota; Viridiplantae; Streptophyta; Magnoliopsida; Arecales; Arecaceae
Description: long non-coding RNA (EGUI_LNC024137)
Source: RNAcentral